RNAcentral lists this ribosomal RNA (360 nucleotides) under uncultured Enterococcus sp. Its description in RNAcentral is "bacterial SSU rRNA". It matches the Rfam family "Bacterial small subunit ribosomal RNA", at positions 198 to 546 of the family's 1533-position model. The record is from RNAcentral. Lineage: Bacteria; Bacillati; Bacillota; Bacilli; Lactobacillales; Enterococcaceae.
AGAUGAAAGACGCUUUUGCGUCACUGAUGGAUGGACCCGCGCUGCAUUAGCUAGUUGGUGGGGUAACGGCUCACCAAGGCCACGAUGCAUAGCCGACCUGAGAGGGUGAUCGGCCACACUGGGACUGAGACACGGCCCAGACUCCUACGGGAGGCAGCAGUAGGGAAUCUUCGGCAACGGACGAAAGUCUGACCGAGCAACGCCGCGAGAGUGAAGAAGGUUUUCGGAUCGUAAAACUCUGUUGUUAGAGAAGAAUAAGGAUGAGAGUAGAAUGUUCAUCCCUUGACGGUAUCUAACCAGAAAGCCACGGCUAACUACGUGCCAGCAGCCGCGGUAAUACGUAGGUGGCAAGCGUUGUCC